RNAcentral lists this long non-coding RNA (290 nucleotides) under Lathyrus oleraceus (garden pea). Its description in RNAcentral is "Pisum sativum (pea) long non-coding RNA (PSAT_LNC033038)". The record is from RNAcentral. Lineage: Eukaryota; Viridiplantae; Streptophyta; Magnoliopsida; Fabales; Fabaceae.
AUUUUAAUUGUUAUAAUAUUGAUUGAUAUUGUUCUCCAAUCAUAUGCUAUUUCAAACAUCCAUUUCCACUUAUAAAUAUAUUACAAGCAAUUUCUUUCCUUUUAUGACUUAUAAUUUCUCUUAAUACCCUUCUCACCCUUAUGCAUUUGCAGGUUUUCUUCACUAUUUCAAACAUCCAUUUCCACUUAUAAAUAUAUUACAAGCAAUUUCUUUCCUUUUAUGACUUAUAAUUUCUCUUAAUACCCUUCUCACCCUUAUGCAUUUGCAGGUUUUCUUCCAUCGCCUCUUCU